GAUGAACGCUGGCGGCAGGCCUAAUACAUGCAAGUCAAGGGGCCCCGCCUUUGGGCGGGGCACCGGCGGACGGGUGAGCAGCGCGUACACAACGUGCCCCUGACCGGGGGACAGCGGCGGGAAACUGCCGGUAACACCCCAUGGCGCCGCGGGGCGGCAUUGCCCGGCGGCGAAAGUUUCGGCGGUCGGGGAUCGGUGUGCGUCCGAUUAGGUAGUUGGCGGGGUGACGGCCCACCAAGCCUGCGAUCGGAGGGGGU
This 257-nucleotide ribosomal RNA is filed under the name uncultured bacterium. RNAcentral's name for it is "partial 16S ribosomal RNA". It matches the Rfam family "Bacterial small subunit ribosomal RNA", at positions 28 to 290 of the family's 1533-position model. The record is from RNAcentral.